GCCGCCUUAGCUCAGUCGGUUAGAGCGACGCACUCGUAAUGCGUAGGUCGGGAGUUCGACUCUCCCAGGCGGCU
Molecule: transfer RNA, 74 nt
Filed under: Pseudonocardia sp.
Lineage: Bacteria; Bacillati; Actinomycetota; Actinomycetes; Pseudonocardiales; Pseudonocardiaceae
Also listed under: 3 other names
Description: tRNA-Thr
Rfam family: tRNA
About the family: Transfer RNA (tRNA) molecules are approximately 80 nucleotides in length. Their secondary structure includes four short double-helical elements and three loops (D, anti-codon, and T loops).
Source: RNAcentral